Molecule: ribosomal RNA, 253 nt
Filed under: uncultured bacterium
Lineage: Bacteria
Description: partial 16S ribosomal RNA
Rfam family: Bacterial small subunit ribosomal RNA
Source: RNAcentral
UACGAAGGGUGCAAGCGUUACUCGGAAUUACUGGGCGUAAAGCGUGCGUAGGUGGUUUGUUAAGUCUGCUGUGAAAGCCCCGGGCUCAACCUGGGAAUGGCAGUGGAUACUGGCAAGCUAGAGUGCGAUAGAGGGGUGUGGAAUUCCCGGUGUAGCGGUGAAAUGCGUAGAGAUCGGGAGGAACACCAGUGGCGAAGGCGGCACCCUGGAUCAGCACUGACACUCAGGCACGAAAGCGUGGGGAGCAAACGGG